RNAcentral lists this ribosomal RNA (423 nucleotides) under uncultured prokaryote. RNAcentral's name for it is "partial 16S ribosomal RNA". The record is from RNAcentral.
CCCUAUGGGGUGCAAUUGCGGACGUUAGUCCAAACUUCAAUCAGGCUUUAACAAGCACUUAUAUUCGUUCACUCAAAAAUCAUUUUUUAUGAAGAGUUUAGUGAAGAAGCAAGAGGUGAAAACAGCAGCUGUGGUGGCACAAUGCUGUGCCAAAACCUCUAAGACGGUUGUGGGCUGCCACGACUAAUUUUGUUAUCAAGGGUGCUUGUCAGCGGGGAUUCCUGUUGCAGGCACCUUUUUUAUUUCAUCAAAACUGUGGAAUGACAUUUUCGAAACACAACAUUAUUUCCAAGGUCAGGAAUUCCGACAACUAUUAUAUUGUCAACCUGCUGAGCGUUGAAGCCGAUUUGCUUACUGCCAACGAGGCCGCUACACUAACAAACGGCGGCGACAUUGCCAUUGACCAUCAGUUGGCGGGGGAGC